UACGUAUGGUGCAAGCGUUAUCCGGAUUUACUGGGUGUAAAGGGAGCGCAGGCGGCGCGCUAAGCCUGGUGUGAAAGCCCGCGGCCCAACCGCGGGACUGCAUUGGGAACUGGCGCGCUGGAGUGCCGGAGGGGUAGGCGGAAUUCCUAGUGUAGCGGUGAAAUGCGUAGAUAUUAGGAGGAACACCAGUGGCGAAGGCGGCCUACUGGACGGUGACUGACGCUGAGGCUCGAAAGCGUGGGGAGCAAACAGG
RNAcentral lists this ribosomal RNA (253 nucleotides) under uncultured bacterium. RNAcentral's name for it is "partial 16S ribosomal RNA". It matches the Rfam family "Bacterial small subunit ribosomal RNA", at positions 524 to 776 of the family's 1533-position model. The record is from RNAcentral.